Small nucleolar RNA from Sciurus vulgaris (Eurasian red squirrel), 131 nucleotides. Lineage: Eukaryota; Metazoa; Chordata; Mammalia; Rodentia; Sciuridae. The record is from Ensembl.
UCCCCCUACAAAGGCAUGUUUUUGAUUCCCUGUCUUUGGACACACAAGAAUUAGAGGAAAAGUAAAGUGGAUUUGGAGAUGUCUGGGGCCUGCUUGCUCCUUGUAGAGUCAGGAUCAAUUAUCCUACAUAA